RNAcentral lists this ribosomal RNA (465 nucleotides) under uncultured bacterium. Its description in RNAcentral is "partial 16S ribosomal RNA". It matches the Rfam family "Bacterial small subunit ribosomal RNA", at positions 28 to 507 of the family's 1533-position model. The record is from RNAcentral.
GACGAACGCUGGCGGCGUGCUUAACACAUGCAAGUCGAACGGAAAGGCCCCUUUGGGGGUACUCGAGUGGCGAACGGGUGAGUAACACGUGAGUAACCUGCCCUUGACUUCGGGAUAACUUCAGGAAACUGGGGCUAAUACCGGAUAGGAAUCCUUGCUGCAUGGUGGGGGUUGGAAAGCUUCGGCGGUUUUGGAUGGACUCGCGGCUUAUCAGCUUGUUGGUGGGGUAGUGGCUUACCAAGGCUUUGACGGGUAGCCGGCCUGAGAGGGCGACCGGCCACAUUGGGACUGAGCUACGGCCCAGACUCCUACGGGAGGCAGCAGUGGGGAAUAUUGCACAAUGGGCGGAAGCCUGAUGCAGCAACGCCGCGUGCGGGAUGACGGCCUUCGGGUUGUAAACCGCUUUCAGCAGGGGCGAAGCUUGUGGUGACGGUACCUGCAGAAGAAGCACCGGCUAACUACGUG